Molecule: long non-coding RNA, 656 nt
Organism: Tarenaya hassleriana
Lineage: Eukaryota; Viridiplantae; Streptophyta; Magnoliopsida; Brassicales; Cleomaceae
Exons: 3
Source: RefSeq, a predicted model, not a curated record
GUUGAAACUUAUUUAUUAUAUUUUUUUUGAGGAAAAAAAAAAACUGUUCAUAGCUGGAAGCCGACGGACGAUCCGGUGACUAAAUUCUAGUGAGAGAGAAAAAACCUGAAUUCUCUCCGAUACAGGGAGGGAGGAAGAGAGAGAGAGAGGAGAGGGAUUUGAAUUUCUCCCGUGUGUCCGCGAGGAUCAAUUUCUGGAGUGUUGUUCAUUCGUGUUCUUCGCGUUCUAGGUGAAUUUUCAGCCUUCCGUCACCUCAUUCAUUCUUUAAUCGGAGCAUUGCGUUGAAAUCGUAUCUGAUUCCGCCUUGUAUUCGUCGAAGCGUGAAUCAAUCUCGGCUGGUAUUCUGAGUUCAAAGAGCGUUGAAUUUGUUCGUAGAGUUUUAUUUUUCUUCUUGACCGAGGAAGCUUCAGGGUUUUUCUCGGUGGAUUGGAAAGGAAACGAGAGUUGAAAAGAUUUUCAUAGGAAUUGAGGAUUGUAUUGAUCAGUGGUUUUUGGCUCGAAUCCUGGUUGAAGAAUGAGCGCUGUCUCCGGUGUACUCUCGAGGCAAGUUUUGCCCGUGUGUGGUAGUCUUUGCGUAUUUUGUCCUGCGCUAAGAGCAAGGUCUAGACAGCCUGUGAAGAGGUACAAGAAGCUGAUUGCUGACAUUUUCCCUCGCA